AGACUAGCAUAGCUAUGUGAGGUCUAUAUGGUUAAUUUGGCUAUUCAUGAAUAUUAGGCGAUUUGUAAAUGUGGAAAUGGACUUACCUAUACAGAAACUGAUAUCACCAUCCCAAAGAAUUAUAGAACAAACAAGUGAAUAUAUGAUUAACAGACAAAGAAGUUCGGGUUAGUCUAGGCUGAUGAACGUGAAAUAAACAAGGAACCCACAGCUUCCAAUCACUUGAAUGGAAAAUGAAAU
This 240-nucleotide unclassified non-coding RNA is filed under the name Hevea brasiliensis (rubber tree). Lineage: Eukaryota; Viridiplantae; Streptophyta; Magnoliopsida; Malpighiales; Euphorbiaceae. The record is from RNAcentral.